This 467-nucleotide ribosomal RNA is filed under the name uncultured bacterium. RNAcentral's name for it is "partial 16S ribosomal RNA". It matches the Rfam family "Bacterial small subunit ribosomal RNA", at positions 28 to 507 of the family's 1533-position model. The record is from RNAcentral.
GACGAACGCUGGCGGUGUGCUUAACACAUGCAAGUCGAACGGUAAGGCCCUUUCGGGGGUACACGAGUGGCGAACGGGUGAGUAACACGUGAGUAACCUGCCCUCAUCUCUGGGAUAACAGUCGGAAACGGUUGCUAAUACUGGAUAUGAGCUUGCAAGGCAUCUUGUGGGUUGGAAAGAUUUUUUUGGUUGGGGAUGGACUCGCGGCCUAUCAGCUUGUUGGUGAGGUAGUGGCUCACCAAGGCUUCGACGGGUAGCCGGCCUGAGAGGGCGACCGGCCACAUUGGGACUGAGAGACGGCCCAAACUCCGACGGGAGGCAGCAGUGGGGAAUAUUGCACAAUGGACGGAAGUCUGAGGCAGCAACGCCGCGUGCGGGAUGACGGCCUUCGGGUUGUAAACCGCUUUCAAUUGUGACGAAGCUUUUUUGUGACGGUAGCAGGAGAAGAAGCACCGGCUAACUACGUG